GUUUUCAUGCCCUGCUUGCGCAAAUUAUUUCGUGAUAAAGUUUUCUCGUAUCGUUUUGGGCUGCGGCACGCUUUCUUGACGGUGAAAGUGGGAGCUGAAGUCUUGGUUAGCUUGCUGAAGUUAUCAACCCUCCGUCAACGCGCUUCGGCACCCCAGUGCUUCUAGAGCGAUAUUCGCCGCGACAAGGCGUGCGUACGGGAAUCGUCGUGACGACUACGGUACUCGGGGCAGAAAACCGCCGAAGUCUGUGCUGCUGGUGGAGAGCACAAAAGUGGCAUUUCCGCGUACCUGGCUAGGAGUAUAGAGCGUAAAAGUACCGCUGAGCCCGAGUUACCCUCUUCGUCGGGCGAUCUAGGUACGCUCGCCACCCGCUUCUGUGUCCUCCGAGUUCGAUUGGAAUAUUUUCGAGAAUUCACCUGAGCAGUUGCCCCUUAGAGGUGUCGACCAACGUGUGAGUGUGAACGCGUGCGCACUUGCACGGAAGACGAUCAUGUUUUCUCCGACUAAAACAUGUCGCCAGUGAAUAGAUUUUUGAGUGUCGACUAUCUGAUUUCUUUCGAAGAGAAGAGCAUGCCUGAAUAACUCAUCACUUGGCAAUACAACGACUUUGGACGUUUCCUGAAGUGCCCUGGCACAAGCGCCCGAGAAAGGUCCGCUGAUCUUAGAACGGUACUGCACAAAGGUGUCAGAUACGGGGGCGCUGCUCGGUAUCACGUAUGCUUUUGCGUGGAUCCCAGAAAGACGAAACCUGGGUUAUGAUGCAUCGCGGAGUUGGUCAUUAUUUGUGCCGAGCUACAUGUGUAGACCCUCGUAAGUAAUCGGGAACGCCCGCCAUCAUCGGCGGGGCACGUUUCAUAGCAAGUGCGUAGGGUAUUUGACAUAUGCAGCUCAGAACGCUGAAAGUGAGUACGAGAUUUGCUCGCUUUCUCGAUGACCAUGCACUUGUCUGACGAACAUGUGCUGGUCGAAUCUGCUGCACUUUCCUCUGAGUGACAUGCCAAGGUUGCGGGCUUUUGCGAUCCAGCAGAUGUACUUGACACCCGUCGUAUGUACCUGACUUGAUACAGGACACAUGAUGCCCACAAGAGGCCCGAUUUACGGUUCAGCUUAAUCUUAAGACAGACGGAACAUGUUGACAUCUAUACACCAGACACUGUUCUAUGUCGGAUCAUACUGGGGUGUGUUUUUCAGAACGUACCGCGCGCUUCAUACGACUUUGCAGCCCGUUUAGGCUUUUGCUCGGCAUGCCGUUCUGGGUGGAUUGCAGAAUUCUGAUGGCCCGUUGUUCUCGUCACCCCUCUACAGUGAAUGUCUUGGGCGCAUCUCGCAGCGUGUUUGGGAAAACUGCCCCCGUACAGUCCUUAACCAAUGGAACUUUUCAAGAAAGCGAUGCAAGUGCCCGAGCUGCGAGACGCGCAUCCUUAAAAUUUCUGCACACU
This is an RNA transcript of Cyanidioschyzon merolae strain 10D, 1439 nucleotides long. RefSeq lists it as hypothetical. The transcript has a single exon. The record is from RefSeq and is a predicted model, not a curated record. Lineage: Eukaryota; Rhodophyta; Bangiophyceae; Cyanidiales; Cyanidiaceae.